UUAUUUUCAGGAAGCUUUCGGGUGGAAUGAACUUAACUUAGCGGCGGACGGGUGAGUAACGCGUGGACAACCUACCCUGUACAGGGGGAUAACAAUGGGAAACCAUUGCUAAUACCCCAUAACACCUUUUAGGGGCAUCCCUUUAAGGUCAAAGAAUUUCGGUACAGGAUGGGUCCGCGUCUGAUUAGCUAGUUGGUGAGGUAAUGGCUCACCAAGGCGACGAUCAGUAGCCGGCCUGAGAGGGUGAACGGCCACACUGGAACUGAGACACGGUCCAGACUCCUACGGGAGGCAGCAGUGGGGAAUAUUGCACAAUGGGCGAAAGCCUGAUGCAGCAACGCCGCGUGAGCGGUGAAGGCUUUCGGGUCGUAAAGCUCUGUCCUAAGGGAAGAUAAUGACGGUACCUUAGGAGGAAGCCCCGGCUAACUACGUGCCAGCAGCCGCGGUAAUACGUAGGGGGCAAGCGUUAUCCGGAAUCAUUGGGCGUAAAGGGUGCGUAGGCGGCCCUAUAGGUCAGAGGUCAAAGGCUACGGCUCAACCGUAGUAAGCCUUUGAAACUGUAGGGCUUGAGUGCAGGAGAGGAGAGUGGAAUUCCUAGUGUAGCGGUGAAAUGCGUAGAUAUUAGGAGGAACACCAGUGGCGAAGGCGACUCUCUGGACUGCAACUGACGCUGAGGCACGAAAGCGUGGGGAGCGAACAGGAUUAGAUACCCUGGUAGUCCACGCCGUAAACGAUGAGUGCUAGGUGUCGGGGGUCGAACCUCGGUGCCGCAGCUAACGCAUUAAGCACUCCGCCUGGGGAGUACGUUCGCAAGAAUGAAACUCAAAGGAAUUGACGGGGACCCGCACAAGCAGCGGAGCAUGUGGUUUAAUUCGAAGCAACGCGAAGAACCUUACCUGGACUUGACAUCCCUCGGACCGCUUUUUAACCAAAGCCUUCCCUUCGGGGACUGAGGUGACAGGUGGUGCAUGGUUGUCGUCAGCUCG
RNAcentral lists this ribosomal RNA (986 nucleotides) under uncultured bacterium. RNAcentral's name for it is "bacterial SSU rRNA". It matches the Rfam family "Bacterial small subunit ribosomal RNA", at positions 67 to 1062 of the family's 1533-position model. The record is from RNAcentral.